GAUGAACGCUAGCUACAGGCUUAACACAUGCAAGUCGAGGGGUAACGAGAGGAAAGCUUGCUUUCCUUGUCGACGACCGGCGCACGGGUGAGUAACGCGUAUCCAACCUGCCCCCAACUAGGGAAUAGCCUUGCGAAAGUAAGACUAAUACCCUAUAAUUUCCUCAGAUGUCAUCUGACGAGGAAUAAAGAUUUAUCGGUUGUGGAUGGGGAUGCGUCUGAUUAGCUUGUUGGCGGGGUAAAGGCCCACCAAGGCAACGAUCAGUAGGGGUUCUGAGAGGAAGGUCCCACACAUUGGAACUGAGACACGGUCCAAACUCCUACGGGAGGCAGCAGUGAGGAAUAUUGGUCAAUGGGCGGAAGCCUGAACCAGCCAAGUAGCGUGCAGGAUGACGGCCCUAUGGGUUGUAAACUGCUUUUAUACAGGAAUAAAGUUAGCCACGUGUGGUUAUUUGUAGGUACUGUAUGAAUAAGGACCGGCUAAUUCCGUGCCAGCCGCCGCGGUAA
RNAcentral lists this ribosomal RNA (506 nucleotides) under uncultured bacterium. RNAcentral describes it as "partial 16S ribosomal RNA". It matches the Rfam family "Bacterial small subunit ribosomal RNA", at positions 28 to 523 of the family's 1533-position model. The record is from RNAcentral.